Molecule: non-coding RNA, 1832 nt
Organism: Coffea arabica (coffee)
Lineage: Eukaryota; Viridiplantae; Streptophyta; Magnoliopsida; Gentianales; Rubiaceae
Source: RefSeq, a predicted model, not a curated record
ACUUUUGUUGCUUUUGCAUUGUAUUCUCCCCCCCUUUAAAGCUUUUAUUUUUGCUAAUUUUCACCUUUAUAUCAACUUUCUACUUGCUGGUACUUGAGCGAUUCCUCACCUUUUCCCACACCUUUUAGAGGUUAAAAAGGUGGAUGGAUGACGAUUUUUGCCAGUAACAACAAAGUAUACCAGUGGUCCGGUGGAAUUUUGCGGGUGAUAACUCCUAGAGUGCUAACUUUAUUUGUAUUCCUAGCUCCCAGAAUAGUACACAAGCUGCACUUGGUCGAGCUCAGCACAUACUAAGUGGUUUCUCUCAGAAAGAAAUUCAUCGCAGACCUCGUAAAUAGCAGCAGCAGAUUUGGGAUUUGAGGAACUUACAAAUUCACACUACUAUAUGCAAUUGGAAAGCAGAGAUCCUGAGUAUGGAGAUUUGAGAAGUAUGGAGUGCGAAGUACCAGAAGUGGUUGUUUUCCUAAAAGAAAAUGGUUGCCAGAUCUUCAAGGAUUUGUGUAUAGAUGGGGAAGUGCCUUGUCAUGACAAAUGUUGUGUGGAAAACUGUGAGUUGGACCACAAUAAUAUAUCCAACCUGUUGAAGUAUGAGCUGGCCAGAAACAGCAGAGAGGUUUCUGAAGAAAUGUUGUUAUAUACUAGCAUUUCAACUGGGGCAGAAGAAUCUUUCUCUAACCAUGAUUGCAUUCAUGAUGAUGCCAAGCUUUGUGAUGCUGAAAAGAAGCUGCUGAUGGAAGAUAAAACAGUUUCUGCUCAUAUUUCAACAGAGGCUUGUUCUUCUUCAGAGAAGGAAUUAUCAGAUAUACGAAAUUUGAGUAAUACUGAGCAGAUCACCGGUCCCUCUCUUUCUCACUUGUUUAAUUGCGAAGAUCUUAGACUAGAUCAACAACAGAAUCAUCAGGUUAAUUAGUUCUAUGACAAUCAAACUUUGACGAUCAAUCUCAAUCUUGUUCACCAACAUUUUUAUACCAGUACUUCUACGAGACAAUGCAGGUUAAAAGUGGCUGUCAUAAAUUACAGACUAUCAUGAUCACCAAGAAUAUACCUGAUUUGCAUGGAAUGGUUUUCAGGAGCAUCCAAAGACGGAAACAAUGAUAGCGGACACUUGGUCAGCUGGCAAGGAAGCAGAUUGCAGAAACUGCAAUGGAGUAGAUCUAAGAUCAGAGGUUGAGUUGGGAGCCCAAAGAAUAACAGAUGACUCUGGUUCACAACCAAUUACGGACGAAAGCACCUCCGAAGACAAACGCACCGAAAGCACCUGCGAGGCGGCGGAUUGCAUGUCAAAAGUACCAUUAUUAGCAUCAUCAUCAUCAUCACGUCAAAAUGAAAAUACCGCAGGGCAUCAUCGAGAACUUGGAAGCUCUAGCUUCUCUGCAGCAAGCACUGCCUCUGGUCGAUUAACGUUCUCUGGGUUGAUACCAUUUUCUGACAACAUCUCCCUCCGCUCGAAUAGCACAGCGAGCACAAGAUCUUUUGCAUUUCCCACAUUAGCAACAGAAUGGAACGAAAGUCCCAUAAGAAUGGCAGAAGUUGACAGAAAGCCCAAAAGGCGGGGAUGUUGGAGGAUGUGUUUUACAUGUUCGAAUUUUUAGAGUGUUGUAAAUCUCGUCCUGUAAAAUCUUUACCAAAUACUACAUCAUCCAGAUAUCAACUUAAUAUACCCUGUCAAGUGUGAAAGGCCACAUAUUUUUAUAAUUUUUUUUGUCACUUUUAUAGUAUACCCACUGAGGCAAUAUAUACCGAUUUUCUUCAUCAAAUCUAAGGCUGAUCAUGCAACUCGUCAACUGAUUUUCUUCAAAUCCAGACAUUGAAGGCCCGUGAAGUUCCGGUUC